ACUAAACUCUCUCUUAUAAUCUUUCGAUCAAUGCAAACGACCCUUGUGUAGACUUCAAAAACCAUAAGAUGAUCAUUUAUUACUAAACAACAUCCGACAGGAACAAUGGAUGUCAACAGAUGGAACGAGUUGAAAUGGCUGAGAAUUCACAAAUACAACCGUCCUGAAAAAGAAAACAGAGAGAAUGUAUCAAUGGGGAAAAAGU
This 205-nucleotide unclassified non-coding RNA is filed under the name Hevea brasiliensis (rubber tree). Lineage: Eukaryota; Viridiplantae; Streptophyta; Magnoliopsida; Malpighiales; Euphorbiaceae. The record is from RNAcentral.